CGUGCCUACGGGGGGCAGCAGUGGGGAAUAUUGCACAAUGGGGGAAACCCUGAUGCAGCAACGCCGCGUGAGUGAAGAAGUAUUUCGGUAUGUAAAGCUCUAUCAGCAGGGAAGAAGAUGACGGUACCUGAGUAAGAAGCCCCGGCUAACUACGUGCCAGCAGCCGCGGUAAUACGUAGGGGGCAAGCGUUAUCCGGAUUUACUGGGUGUAAAGGGAGCGUAGACGGGGAGACAAGUCUGAAGUGAAAGCCCGGGGCUCA
Molecule: ribosomal RNA, 260 nt
Filed under: uncultured bacterium
Lineage: Bacteria
Description: partial 16S ribosomal RNA
Rfam family: Bacterial small subunit ribosomal RNA
Source: RNAcentral